This 556-nucleotide long non-coding RNA is filed under the name Anolis carolinensis (green anole). Its description in RNAcentral is "lncRNA (ENSACAG00000035070.1)". The record is from RNAcentral. Lineage: Eukaryota; Metazoa; Chordata; Lepidosauria; Squamata; Anolidae.
GAGGAAUCCGAAGGAGAGCCCUCCUCGAGUGGGCGAGACCCUCCAGGCAGGCCGGGAAGAACCUUCGGGAGGGGCUGGAACUUUUCCCCCUCCUCAGGUGACUUCUUCCCGGGUCUCUCAGGAGAGAGGUCUCGGCAAGGCCCGGAACUGACCGCCCUGGGGCCAGGGUUCUCCGCCGCAGCAUUUGCUCUGGAAGUCAGGAUGUCUCAGGAAAUGGAAGAUAGUAUUGGUGAGUGUCGGUUUAAUUUUCAAACCCAUUUUUAUUAUGUCUCCUCUUCCUGAUCAUCACAAAUUUUAAGUGUGAAUCUGAACACAGUGGGAACCCAGAGCCAUGAGCUGGUAUACAAUGGGAGCCCAGAGCUGCAGGCUAAUAUAGUUUGCUGAGGUUGCCAAGUCACUGCUGACACACACACACACACUUUUUUUUCUGUUGGUAGUAAUGAAAUUAGUGUGUUCCUUACAACCAAUUGUGUCUUAUUAAAGAAACAUGGUAUGUCCUUUAAGUGAAAUUAGAUUUUGUAGACAUGUUGGUCUGGCAAUCAGAUCUAUUUGAGAU